UACGAAGGGGGCUAGCGUUGCUCGGAAUCACUGGGCGUAAAGGGCGCGUAGGCGGCCGAUUAAGUCGGGGGUGAAAGCCUGUGGCUCAACCACAGAAUUGCCUUCGAUACUGGUUGGCUUGAGACCGGAAGAGGACAGCGGAACUGCGAGUGUAGAGGUGAAAUUCGUAGAUAUUCGCAAGAACACCAGUGGCGAAGGCGGCUGUCUGGUCCGGUUCUGACGCUGAGGCGCGAAAGCGUGGGGAGCAAACAGGAUUAGAUACCCUGGUAGUCAAGGGCGAAUUCGC
RNAcentral lists this ribosomal RNA (286 nucleotides) under uncultured Hyphomicrobiales bacterium. Its description in RNAcentral is "uncultured Rhizobiales bacterium partial 16S ribosomal RNA". It matches the Rfam family "Bacterial small subunit ribosomal RNA", at positions 524 to 809 of the family's 1533-position model. The record is from RNAcentral. Lineage: Bacteria; Pseudomonadati; Pseudomonadota; Alphaproteobacteria; Hyphomicrobiales.